GUCGAGGUGGCGAAAUUGGUAGACGCACUGCGCUUAGGACGCAGCGGGGUAACCCGUGGAGGUUCAAAUCCUCUCCUCGACACAA
Molecule: transfer RNA, 85 nt
Filed under: Candidatus Zambryskibacteria bacterium RIFCSPHIGHO2_01_FULL_44_22b
Lineage: Bacteria; Candidatus Zambryskiibacteriota
Also listed under: 1 other name
Description: tRNA-Leu
Rfam family: tRNA
About the family: Transfer RNA (tRNA) molecules are approximately 80 nucleotides in length.
Source: RNAcentral